CGGAAAGCCUGACGCAGCGACGCCGCGUGCGGGAAGAAGGCCUUCGGGUUGUAAACCGCUUUCAGGAGGGACGAAGCCACUCGGGUUAAUAGCCCAGAGGGUGACGGUACCUCCAGAAGAAGCCCCGGCUAACUACGUGCCAGCAGCCGCGGUAAUACGUAGGGGGCAAGCGUUGUCCGGAUUCAUUGGGCGUAAAGAGCGUGUAGGCGGCCAGGUAGGUCGGUUGUGAAAACUGGAGGCUCAACCUUCAGAGGUCGACCGAAACCAUCUGGCUAGAGUCCGGGAGAGGAGAGUGGAAUUCCUGGUGUAGCGGUGAAAUGCGCAGAUAUCAGGAAGAACACCCGUGGCGAAAGCGGCUCUCUGGAACGGUACUGACGCUGAGACGCGAAAGCGUGGGGAGCGAACAGGAUUAGAUACCCUGGUAGUCCACGCCGUAAACGAUGGGCACUAGGUGUGGGAGGUGUCGACUCCUUCCGUGCCGAAGCUAACGCAUUAAGUGCCCCGCCUGGGGAGUACGGCCGCAAGGCUA
Molecule: ribosomal RNA, 529 nt
Filed under: uncultured Actinomycetes bacterium
Lineage: Bacteria; Bacillati; Actinomycetota; Actinomycetes
Description: bacterial SSU rRNA
Rfam family: Bacterial small subunit ribosomal RNA
Source: RNAcentral